UUGAGAACUUGAUCGUCAAUUGAUGGUAAUGUUAUGGGUCUUGGUCUCCAUUCAUUAAAAUGUUCUCCAUUGCUAGUGAUUGUUAGAAUUUUGUUGUAUCCGAAAGUUUUAAGCCACAUGCAGAUGAGAUCAGAUGUAUUUCAUUUUUCUGUAUUUAAUAUAAUGAUGUUAUUGAUCAGGAAUUCUUCCAGUAAAUGGGGAUUCCCCUUCUAUUUUCAUUCAGUAAAUUGAUCUGAAUUUGUACAAAUGCAUUAGUAAUUCUCACACUGCAGGUUCCAGGUACUACAUGUUUGAUGUAUAUGAAUAUUUUGUAUGGACAACUUUGUUUCCAUUUAUUCAUGAUGUGAGGACAAGCUUGCAAGAUUAAGCCAGUUCUGUUUCUCCAAGUUUAUUUUGUCAUAUUGCACUGUCAAACUUUAAUAUGAAAAAUCCCACAGAAUGAAUGUUAGAUGAUUAAUAACUUUGAUUAUCUCUGAAAGUUCUGUAUUCUAAUAUUUUUGUUUUUACUUUUUCUAUAAUGAUACCUUCAUGGCGCAGAUCAUUUGAAUAGAUUGCUCUUCUCUAAAGAGGAAACUGUGAUGCGGAACUAAGCAUGAUAUAUAUGGCCCUUUCUGGCUUAAGCCAUCUAUGCUUCUGAUGGUGGAUAAAUGUUUGGGUAAUGAUGUUUUACAUGCUUUUUGACGCCCAUGCAUCCAUUAUGAUUAUCUAAGCAUGUUCUAUAUGGCCUUUUCUGGCUUAACCAUCUAGGCUUCUGAUGGUGUUUAAAUGAUUGGGUAAUGAUGUUUUACUUGCUUUUUGACGCCCAUGCAUCUGUUAUGAUUAUCUAAGACAUAGGAUACAAUAGUAUCAUUUUUGGUGAGAGGGAUAGAGUAUAUUCUUAUUUAAGGUUGUUCUCCUGUAUGAAACCAAUGUUUGAAGCCUUCAUUUUGAUCUGUGGAUUCCUAUUAUUUUUCCUAAAAAAUGAUGCUGAUAGAUGGUUUGAUUAUCAUGUAGCUUAUUUUUUAAGUAUUAUACUUACUGCAGACACUGUAACCUUGGGACCUAUCAGAAAUUUGCUCAGAUGAAUGCUUGCAUAUUUUUUUGUAGAAUGCCAGUCAAGUUAUUCAGAAACAUUGAUAGUUCAUUUCCUCAUCAUUCAUUACUCUGAAGGUAAUCUUGAGGGGCUAUCAUGGUGAAGUGGCUUUAUUGUUGAAAGUGCUUAUAUUCAAUGUGUUUCAUAAUUCUGAAGUAACUUUUACGUAAACAAUAUCAGACACCAGCAUUGGCUUACUGUUUUCAGGCAGUGCGAUCGUUUUCCAAAGAGAAAUGCUGUCAUCAGAAGAGGAUAUUUGUUUUACUCUGCUUAAUUGUGUCCUCAUAAUUCUACUUGAUUUCUGGGCCUCCUAUUAUUUUCUAUCAUAUAUCAUCAGCUUCAAAUGGAUAUUUUGUUUUGCUGGAAAGAACAUUGGUGUAUCGCAACUAUUGAAGUUUUGUGGUUCUGUAGUUAAAGGUAGGAGACCAGAUGUCGAGGCUUAUGGUUCUUUUGCAGUGCUGUCAAGGCUUAUGUUCUUUUGCAAUGCUAGUGGGGUCUGCUGUUUGGCGCUUAAACAUCAGAAGAUAGACCAAACCUCUGGAAUGAACAUGUUUGACAUAACUGAUGAAGCUAGAGGAAGUGGGAUUAAAUAGAUGUACAGGUUGUAGGUUUUAAGUUAAAAGAACAGAUCUGUGUGUGCAUAUCUUUGAAGUAAAUGAGGCCAGUUUUGGAGUUCAAAAUAGGUCCAGAACGUGGGCCACAUUCAAUGGCAUAUAUGAGUAAACACCAUUGAGUGCAUGACACAGCAAUGUCAUGCACACAUGGAAAAUGAUGAGAUGAAGAUGUUUUAUCAGGGACCAGAGUAAAUAACAUAGGUACUAGUAGUGACAGAAUAUGAUAGUUUUUUCUGUCCUAUUCCAGUUUAGUUUUGAACCUUGGUACAGAAGUUUGUCCUAAGUUGGCCUUUGAAUAGAUUUUUUCCCCUGAACUUCCCACUCAAACAGGUUAAGCUGGUGGAGUGGGCUGUAUUUCCUAUUACCAUGAGGUGAAUGUUUCAUAGGUUCUCUGAUCAAGUGGUAGCCAUGUAAUCAAGUGAGUCAUGGUUCAUUAGUGUUAGUCUUAAUACAGCAGGAUAGUAUCUUCUGUUUAUUCUUUUUCCCUGCUUCUAUUAUUUCCUUACAUAGGGAUCAAUCAUCGAUGUUUUAGCUGAUAUCAGCCAUUUUAUUUGUUGUCGAGGAUCCCAACACAGCAAAUGUUUUAUGUUGAUUCACUUGGUUUCAGAUCUGGUUUAUGGAGCAGUAUGCUGAGAAUCAUAUCAUGAGUGUUCUUCAUAUGCACCACCCUUGCAGCACUGAUUUGGGUAAAGUUGUUGCAGUAUUGAUUCAGUAAGAAAAGCUAUCAUAAUGUUCUCACAACCAUACGGAACUGUAAAGCAAAGGAUAUGAGUUGCAUGUGAUUCUCUUGGACCUACACCAUGAUUUACCUUAACUAGGAUUCUUAUUUGGAAACAACAACAUGAUGUAGUGCACUACCUUCAUGUCUAAGCUGUACUGUUCAUUGUCACACUACCUAAGUUUGCUGUGAAUUCUUACCAAAAGAACUGUUGAAGACACUACAUGGGCUCCUGCCUUGUACACUUUGGCUUUCUGAAAGUUCCUUCUGUACAGCCUUUCACCAAUGAAAUCUGUUUAUUUUUGGUUCCAUCCACCAAUUAUUGUUAGAGAUUUGAAAAUUGAAGAUGCAAAUCAUACUCUUUCAUGGUGGUUUCUCAAUGUCCUGUGGUCAUGAAAAGUUUGGUUCAUAUUCUGACCUUUAUAUUGCCAAUCUUUUAGUUAUUAGACAUACUUUAGGCCCUUAACUAAUGCUUUAAUAUCAUGAAUACAGAACAUACAUUUGAUGAGUUACUUUAAAUGUAGCAUGAGUUAUAGAUGUGUAGUCUAUAGUUGAUGGUCCAGAUUGAUGUUCACAGUUCAGUCAUCAGUUGGAGACUGGAGGGUCUGGGAUUUUAGAUUGCAAGUCUUACGCAAGCUAGUUUUAAACAAACAUCUUCCCCAUUGGUCAGCUUUACUGGGCAAUGUUUUUCCCAGGGUAUCUUUCAUGUUUUUAUUGGUAAUGAGAGCCAGGCUAGAUGUUAAUUUCAGUUCAGCUACCAAGUUGAAUGUCAAGGUCUUGAUAUGAUAAGGUACAUUUCUGUAGCUGAAGGACUGUCAUGCCAUACUAGUUACCAUUUUUCACUAUGUGAAAUUGUCUCUCACUCUGCCAGCCUUUCUAUGAUUGCUCAGUUUUGGAUGGAGAAGAUUGUAUGGAACUAAAAACAUUAUAUGCCAAGUUCUACAAUAUUACUCAUGGGGUCAGCCUGAGUCACUGAUGGUCCUGGUCAAUCGUGUCAUUUUCAGUAUGGCUGUAAUCAGGUUCCAUGAACUAAUUCUCUCUCAAUGCCUUUGCCUUUUCCUUUUGUUUGUGCUCAACUUGCUGAUUCUCGUCGUGCUUUCAGUCAGAGUAUCUAAUGACAUCUAGCGUGGUACUUCCUGAGUUUUGAGCUGGUGAUCGCCAUCAUAUGUAUUAUUCUUCCGAACAGGUGGGCCAGGAAUUAUCACGGAUAGGGAAAGAAGGGAACUCUGUUAAAAUUUUGAUAGUGAAAAGGAUUUGGUAGGAUUUACUCUGGCUUCCUAUAGUUAAUCUUUUGUAAACUAUAUUGCUUGAAUUUUUGAUGUCUCGCUUGUUAUAAAUCAUCUAACAUACUUUGGAUUUCUUCUACCUUC
This is a non-coding RNA of Elaeis guineensis (African oil palm), 3774 nucleotides long. The record is from RefSeq and is a predicted model, not a curated record. NCBI's taxonomy places the organism in Eukaryota, Viridiplantae, Streptophyta, Magnoliopsida, Arecales, Arecaceae.